This is a long non-coding RNA of Silurus meridionalis, 458 nucleotides long. RefSeq lists it as uncharacterized. The transcript has 3 exons. Lineage: Eukaryota; Metazoa; Chordata; Actinopteri; Siluriformes; Siluridae. The record is from RefSeq and is a predicted model, not a curated record.
ACAAUCGCCCUCGCUCGGCUCGAGGCGGAAGAGUCCCGUGGAAGACAGCAGCAGAUCAUGAUUCCGCGAUCGGAGACGACGGGGAAGGGCAGGACAUCGCCUUCAUAUCACACACCAUAGGACCUAUUUGAUCAUCAUUAAAAACCCAAGGUAAAAACCCAAGUCAUAUGUGGUUCUUAUCCCAACUUUCCCCUAAACAAAGCUGGAGGCGCACAUUUGAAAAAAUUUGUGUAAAUUUCCCUUUAUUUGUAAGAGACUGAGACCUGUUCAAGAAUGAAGAUGCUCCUGUGACUAAAGCAAGUUUUAUGAAGGUAUGGUUUGAAAGGGUUGAAGUGGAUGGUUUUGACUGGCCUGCUAAAGCUCUCUACUCAACCCUAGUGCAUUAAUGGCAUUUGGCAGACAUAUUUGAAUACUUUUGCGACAUACAUUACCUGACUUUUCUAAUGUGCAUGUGGCUG